RNAcentral lists this ribosomal RNA (450 nucleotides) under uncultured bacterium. RNAcentral describes it as "partial 16S ribosomal RNA". It matches the Rfam family "Bacterial small subunit ribosomal RNA", at positions 354 to 796 of the family's 1533-position model. The record is from RNAcentral.
GUGGGGAAUAUUGGACAAUGGGCGAAAGCCUGAUCCAGCCAUGCCGCGUGUGUGAAGAAGGUCUUCGGAUUGUAAAGCACUUUAAGUUGGGAGGAAGGGCAGUAAGUUAAUACCUUGCUGUUUUGACGUUACCGACAGAAUAAGCACCGGCUAACUUCGUGCCAGCAGCCGCGGUAAUACGAAGGGUGCAAGCGUUAAUCGGAAUUACUGGGCGUAAAGCGCGCGUAGGUGGUUUUGUAAGUUGGAGGUGAAAUCCCCGGGCUCAACCCGGGAAGUGCACUUGAUACUGCGUGGCUUGAGUACCGAAGAGGGUAGUGGAAUUCCAGGUGUAGUGGUGAAAUACGUAGAUAUCUGGAGGAACACCGGUGGCGAAGGCGGCUACCUGGUCGAGUACUGACACUGAGACACGAAAGCAUGGGGAUCAAACAGGAUUAGAAACCCUUGUAGUCC